This 421-nucleotide ribosomal RNA is filed under the name uncultured bacterium. RNAcentral's name for it is "partial 16S ribosomal RNA". It matches the Rfam family "Bacterial small subunit ribosomal RNA", at positions 360 to 773 of the family's 1533-position model. The record is from RNAcentral.
AAUAUUUGACAAUGGGGGCAACCCUGAUACAGCCAUGCCGCGUGUGUGAAGAAGGUCCUCGGAUUNUCAAGCACUUUAUGUUGGGGNGAAGGGCUUUAGGUUAAUACCCUGAAGUUUUGACGUUACCAACAGAAUACGCACCGGCUAACUCUGUGCCAGCAGCCGCGGUAAUACAGAGGGCGCAAGCGUUAAUCGGAAUUACUGGGCGUAACACGCGCGUAGGUGGUUCAGUAAGAUGGGUGGGAAAACCCCGGGCUUAACCUGGAAAAUGCUUUCAUAACUGCUGGGCUAGAGUACGGUAGAGGGUAGUGGAAUUUCCUGUGUAGCGGUGAAAUGCGUAAGAAUAGGAAGAAACACCAGUGGCGAAGGCGACUACCUGAACUGAUACUGACACUGGGGUGCGAAAGCGUGGGGAGCAAAC